UUGAAAUGCACUCUUUAUAUCACUAGAUGGCUACUGUAAAAAUCUUAGUGCAGGAAAUUUUACAUUUUUGUUGGUUUUCAAGCUAGCCAAGUUUGGUGGUGACACAUCGUUAAGUCGGGGUUAAUGGUUGCAAGGAUUUGGGAAAUUUUCAAAGUUUUGGUUUUUUCGAUUUGAUGGUGUGAAAGCACUCUUUAUAUCACCAAAUGGCUCUUCUAAAAAUCUUGUUGCAAGAAAUUUUUCAUUAUGGUUGGUUUUCAAGUUAGCCAAGUUUGGUGGUGAGAGUUGGCUAAGUCGUCGCAAGGUGCCAAGA
Molecule: long non-coding RNA, 310 nt
Filed under: Vigna radiata
Lineage: Eukaryota; Viridiplantae; Streptophyta; Magnoliopsida; Fabales; Fabaceae
Description: long non-coding RNA (VRAD_LNC009838)
Source: RNAcentral